This 45-nucleotide non-coding RNA is filed under the name Schistosoma mattheei. The record is from RNAcentral. Lineage: Eukaryota; Metazoa; Platyhelminthes; Trematoda; Strigeidida; Schistosomatidae.
AUCCAGCUGACAAGUCCCAAAUAGGACGAAACACACAACCUGGAU